This 57-nucleotide transfer RNA is filed under the name Salmo salar (Atlantic salmon). It matches the Rfam family "tRNA", at positions 8 to 63 of the family's 71-position model. From Rfam's summary of the family: Transfer RNA (tRNA) molecules are approximately 80 nucleotides in length. Their secondary structure includes four short double-helical elements and three loops (D, anti-codon, and T loops). Further hydrogen bonds mediate the characteristic L-shaped molecular structure. tRNAs have two regions of fundamental functional importance: the anti-codon, which is responsible for specific mRNA codon recognition, and the 3' end, to which the tRNAs corresponding amino acid is attached (by aminoacyl-tRNA synthetases). tRNAs cope with the degeneracy of the genetic code in two manners: having more than one tRNA (with a specific anti-codon) for a particular amino acid; and 'wobble' base-pairing, i.e. permitting non-standard base-pairing at the 3rd anti-codon position. The record is from Rfam by way of RNAcentral. Lineage: Eukaryota; Metazoa; Chordata; Actinopteri; Salmoniformes; Salmonidae.
UGGCUCAGUUGGUAGAGCAUGGUGUUUGAACGCCAGGGUUGUGGGUUCAUUUCCCAC